Molecule: long non-coding RNA, 839 nt
Filed under: Macaca mulatta (Rhesus monkey)
Lineage: Eukaryota; Metazoa; Chordata; Mammalia; Primates; Cercopithecidae
Description: lncRNA (ENSMMUG00000062121.1)
Source: RNAcentral
AUGCCCUCGUUUGAAGGCUGUAAAGUCACCAGGAAGGAAAGGAAUGUGGCAGGCGUGACACUGCUAAAAGCACUGGACUCAAUCACACCGCUACCCACUCCACAGACAAGCCCCCGCAGCUGCCCCCGAAAGGCGGGUACAAGACUGGGGGUAUUGGCACUGUGCUUGCGGGGCAGGUGGAAACAGGCAUAGUGGUGACCUUCGCCCCAUGCAACAUCACCAUGGAAGUCAAGUCCGUGGAGAUGCACCAAGGCCCUGCCUGGUGACAAGGUGGGCUUCCAUGUGAAGAACGUAUCAGUAAAGGACAUCAGGCGAGGUGACAUGGCAGGACAGCAAGAAUGACCUGCCCUCAGAGGUGGUGAUCAUUCUCAACUACUUUGGCUGCAUCACAGCUGGCUACUCACCAGUUUUGUACCGCCACACAGCCCACAUUGCCUGCAAGUUUGCAGAGCUGCAAGUUUGCAAACCAGCACUUGGGCAAGAAAGUGGAAGAUAACCCCAGAGCUUUGAAGUCUGGGAACUUGGCCAUCGCCCAGAUGAUCCUGGGCAAGCUCAUUGUGUGGAAAGCUUCUGAGACAACCUGCCCCUCAGUGAGGCCCAACCGCACCUGGCCACCAGGGCUGCCCCUUCCUUCUUCUGGGUCCAGGAAGCCAGUUGGCCACCUGAGGCAGGCAGUGGAACCUAGUUGCAAGGAUCUGAGAGCCAGGAGACAACCUCUUACCUCUGCCUCCCUCCUUCCCUCGGGCCUGGUCAUGUGCACGUGUGCCGACCUCCCCCAUCACACGGUGAGUUCUGGUAGGCAGGGGUGGGUCUCACUCAACGCUGACUUUAACUCCUAG